This 253-nucleotide ribosomal RNA is filed under the name uncultured bacterium. RNAcentral describes it as "partial 16S ribosomal RNA". It matches the Rfam family "Bacterial small subunit ribosomal RNA", at positions 524 to 776 of the family's 1533-position model. The record is from RNAcentral.
UACGAAGGGGGCUAGCGUUGCUCGGAAUGACUGGGCGUAAAGGGCGCGUAGGCGGGUCGUUAAGUCGGGGGUGAAAUCCUGGAGCUCAACUCCAGAACUGCCUUCGAUACUGGCGAUCUUGAGUCUGGGAGAGGUGAGUGGAACUCCGAGUGUAGAGGUGAAAUUCGUAGAUAUUCGGAAGAACACCAGUGGCGAAGGCGGCUCACUGGCCCGGUACUGACGCUGAGGUGCGAAAGCGUGGGGAGCAAACAGG